RNAcentral lists this ribosomal RNA (394 nucleotides) under uncultured bacterium. Its description in RNAcentral is "bacterial SSU rRNA". It matches the Rfam family "Bacterial small subunit ribosomal RNA", at positions 29 to 429 of the family's 1533-position model. The record is from RNAcentral.
AUUGAACGCUGGCGGCAGGCCUAACACAUGCAAGUCGAGCGCGAAAGGCCUUCGGGCUGAGUAGAGCGGCGGACGGGUGAGUAACGCGUAGGAAUCUACCUGGUAGUGGGGGACAACUUGGGGAAACUCAAGCUAAUACCGCAUACGCCCUAUGGGGGAAAGUGGGGGACCUUCGGGCCUCACGCUAUCAGAUGAGCCUGCGUAGGAUUAGCUAGUUGGUGAGGUAAAGGCUCACCAAGGCGACGAUCCUUAGCUGGUCUGAGAGGAUGAUCAGCCACACUGGGACUGAGACACGGCCCAGACUCCUACGGGAGGCAGCAGUGGGGAAUAUUGCGCAAUGGGGGCAACCCUGACGCAGCCAUGCCGCGUGUGUGAAGAAGGCCUCGGUUGUAAG